CAUGAAGCUGGAAUCGCUAGUAAUCGCGGAUCAGAAUGCCGCGGUGAAUACGUUCCCGGGUCUUGUACACACCGCCCGUCACACCAUGGGAGUCGGGAAUGCCCGAAGCCAGUGACCCAAGCGAGAGCAGGGAGCUGUCGAAGGCAGGCCGGAUAACUGGGGUGAAGUCGUAACAAGGUACC
RNAcentral lists this ribosomal RNA (182 nucleotides) under uncultured bacterium. Its description in RNAcentral is "partial 16S ribosomal RNA". It matches the Rfam family "Bacterial small subunit ribosomal RNA", at positions 1319 to 1500 of the family's 1533-position model. The record is from RNAcentral.